Molecule: ribosomal RNA, 465 nt
Filed under: uncultured bacterium
Lineage: Bacteria
Description: partial 16S ribosomal RNA
Rfam family: Bacterial small subunit ribosomal RNA
Source: RNAcentral
GACGAACGCUGGCGGCGUGCUUAACACAUGCAAGUCGAACGGAAAGGCCCUGCUUGCAGGGUACUCGAGUGGCGAACGGGUGAGUAACACGUGGGUGAUCUGCCCUGCACUUCGGGAUAAGCCUGGGAAACUGGGUCUAAUACCGGAUAGGAGCCAUUUUUAGUGUGAUGGUUGGAAAGUUUUUUCGGUGUAGGAUGAGCUCGCGGCCUAUCAGCUUGUUGGUGGGGUAAUGGCCUACCAAGGCGGCGACGGGUAGCCGGCCGGAGAGGGUGGACGGCCACAUUGGGACUGAGAUACGGCCCAGACUCCUACGGGAGGCAGCAGUGGGGAAUAUUGCACAAUGGGCGCAAGCCUGAUGCAGCGACGCCGCGUGGGGGAUGACGGCCUUCGGGUUGUAAACUCCUUUCGCUAGGGACGAAGCUUUUUGUGACGGUACCUAGAUAAGAAGCACCGGCUAACUACGUG